Molecule: long non-coding RNA, 357 nt
Organism: Neofelis nebulosa (Clouded leopard)
Lineage: Eukaryota; Metazoa; Chordata; Mammalia; Carnivora; Felidae
Exons: 2
Source: RefSeq, a predicted model, not a curated record
CUAUGGGCACAGCCGGUGAUCACAGACCCUGCCUUGCACCAAACUAAGUGAAUACAGUUCUACAAGUAAAAAUUAGCCCUGGAGUUAGAACUCAAAUAUUCUUCAUGACUGAGCCCUAACUUGGCCAACGUACUACCACAUUCAAACGAAGAUAAAUGAGUUACUUACUGUGAGAUCAUCACCUGUGCUCGUGGAGUCCAAAUUGUUUCGCCAGAAGGUCUGCAAAAAGGGAUGAAGAGAUGGACACAGGCAAAUAGGAAGAAAUGAUUCAUAAAUAAAAGGAAAGAUCUUUGAAAAUUAUUCAAGUUCUAAAUGUGGGACUUGAAGGAAACAACGAAAGUCUUGAGAUUUACUAUC